Non-coding RNA from Lipomyces mesembrius, 88 nucleotides. The record is from the annotation of a GenBank genome assembly. NCBI's taxonomy places the organism in Eukaryota, Fungi, Ascomycota, Lipomycetes, Lipomycetales, Lipomycetaceae.
UUCCUUGUGGCCCAAUGGCAAGGCGUCCGCCUACGAUACAAUUUUAGUAAGUAGCGGGAGAUUCCAGGUUCGACCCCUGGCAGGGAAG